CCUACGGGUGGCAGCAGUAGGGAAUAUUGCUCAAUGGGGGAAACCCUGAAGCAGCAACGCCGCGUGGAGGAUGAAGGUUUUCGGAUUGUAAACUCCUUUUAUCAGGGACGAUAAUGACGGUACCUGAAGAAAAAGCUCCGGCUAACUACGUGCCAGCAGCCGCGGUAAUACGUAGGGAGCGAGCGUUGUCCGGAAUUACUGGGUGUAAAGGGAGCGUAGGCGGGACGGCAAGUCAGAUGUGAAAACUGAGGGCUCAACUUUCAGACUGCAUUUGAAACUGCUGUUCUUGAGUGAAGUAGAGGUAAGCGGAAUUCCUAGUGUAGCGGUGAAAUGCGUAGAUAUUAGGAGGAACAUCGGUGGCGAAGGCGGCUCACUGGACUGCAACUGACACUGAGGCUCGAAAGUGUGGGUAUCAAACAGGAUUAGAUACCCCAGUAGUC
This 440-nucleotide ribosomal RNA is filed under the name uncultured bacterium. Its description in RNAcentral is "partial 16S ribosomal RNA". It matches the Rfam family "Bacterial small subunit ribosomal RNA", at positions 338 to 795 of the family's 1533-position model. The record is from RNAcentral.